UGGUUAGCGGCGGACGGGUGAGUAACACGUAGGCAACCUGCCUGCAAGACCGGGAUAACCCACGGAAACGUGAGCUAAUACCGGAUAUCUCAUUUCCUCUCCUGAGGGGAUGAUGAAAGACGGAGCAAUCUGUCACUUGCGGAUGGGCCUGCGGCGCAUUAGCUAGUUGGUGAGGUAACGGCUCACCAAGGCGACGAUGCGUAGCCGACCUGAGAGGGUGAACGGCCACACUGGGACUGAGACACGGCCCAGACUCCUACGGGAGGCAGCAGUAGGGAAUCUUCCGCAAUGGGCGAAAGCCUGACGGAGCAACGCCGCGUGAGUGAUGAAGGUUUUCGGAUCGUAAAGCUCUGUUGCCAGGGAAGAACGUCCGGUAGAGUAACUGCUAUCGGAGUGACGGUACCUGAGAAGAAAGCCCCGGCUAACUACGUGCCAGCAGCCGCGGUAAUACGUAGGGGGCAAGCGUUGUCCGGAAUUAUUGGGCGUAAAGCGCGCGCAGGCGGUCAUUUAAGUCUGGUGUUUAAGGCCAAGGCUCAACCUUGGUUCGCACUGGAAACUGGGUGACUUGAGUGCAGAAGAGGAGAGUGGAAUUCCACGUGUAGCGGUGAAAUGCGUAGAUAUGUGGAGGAACACCAGUGGCGAAGGCGACUCUCUGGGCUGUAACUGACGCUGAGGCGCGAAAGCGUGGGGGAGCAAAC
This 698-nucleotide ribosomal RNA is filed under the name Paenibacillus sp. RNAcentral describes it as "bacterial SSU rRNA". It matches the Rfam family "Bacterial small subunit ribosomal RNA", at positions 89 to 773 of the family's 1533-position model. The record is from RNAcentral. Lineage: Bacteria; Bacillati; Bacillota; Bacilli; Caryophanales; Paenibacillaceae.